Molecule: small nucleolar RNA, 107 nt
Filed under: Dichanthelium oligosanthes
Lineage: Eukaryota; Viridiplantae; Streptophyta; Magnoliopsida; Poales; Poaceae
Description: Plant small nucleolar RNA R71
Rfam family: Plant small nucleolar RNA R71
About the family: R71 is a member of the C/D box family of snoRNAs containing the C (UGAUGA) and D (CUGA) box motifs.
Source: Rfam by way of RNAcentral
AUCCCAUGAUGUGGACAUUGUGCCAAUAAAUCCUUAAAUCUUUCCUAUGCUUCACCGGUUGAUUCAUUAGAAUAUUGCUUGAAUUCCAUAACUUCUUGCACAACACC